AACAUAAGGUGUUGUCUGUUGCUUCUGAUUAAUCUUGAGAUGGCAUCAUUUAUUAUUGUAAAAUAAUACUGUUUCUGUAUGUUUCUGAAAACAAUAUAGGGGUUAAAUUUUUUGUUUUGGAAAUUAUGAGGAAAAACUCCCCCCUCAUGUUGCACACUAACACAAAUGACCAGUGCGGCAGUGCCUAAAGUUUAUUACAAUUUGUAAUGCCAAUAUAAGCAACCAUUUUUAACACUAGGAAACAUCUUUUUUGUGUUCAAAAAGGGACUUCAAAUGGUAUAUAAAUUGCUUCUUCUCUCAGAUGCCAAGUCAUAUACAUGUAGUAGUAAGGAGUAAGAGAAAAAACUGAUCAAAUUGGAAAUGGGAUAAUGGGACCACAUUAGGGUCUUGUAGCUGUCACCUUGUAAGUCAGCUUCUUAAAUUAACACUGUUUAUGGGACUAGUACACAUAAGCAGGCAGGUAUCUUCAUACCACAUUAAUAUAUAGGCUUAUAUGUAAGUAACACUUGCUGCUGGAUGUAAAAGAUUAAUUAAUAGACUGGUAACAAUGGUUAUAGUAUAACAACCUCACUCAAGUAAUUUUUAUUCACUUUUUGACAAACCAUUCCAUUAAAUAACCCAACAAUAUAAACAGAAAAUAAAAAAAAAUAGUUUCCAUUGUCCUCACUCAAUUUUAAAAUCAAAAUUUAUGAUAUGAAUCCUCCUAUUCAAUGAGUAUGCAGCAUUAUAAACUAAAACAAAUUUCAUAGCUUCCAAAUGUUAUUACAAACUAUAUCAUGCAGCUCCCUGGUGUAGCUUUCCAUCAAUGAAUUUUAAAACUGCAUUUUGCAGUAAAACAUGUACAUGAUGUAUUUUAAUCCCUUUUUGGCAAUAGUUUUCAACGACUUGCAUCUGUGUGUACAUAUCAUGAGUUUAAAUAAAACAGUACCCAGUAGUUGUCUGCAUAUAUUAUCUUCUUUACCUCUACUGCAUGUGAUUAAUAAAUUUAACUAUGAUGAAAAUAAAUUUAUAAAAUAUUAAUUGCCAGCUUUUGGUAUUUAUUUGUGCUGCUUUAACAAACAUCAGUUGAUGUAUUUGUCAAUUUUAUGUUAUCUUAUA
This 1098-nucleotide long non-coding RNA is filed under the name Mytilus galloprovincialis (Mediterranean mussel). The record is from RNAcentral. Lineage: Eukaryota; Metazoa; Mollusca; Bivalvia; Mytilida; Mytilidae.